GAGGUGUUCUUGAUGGUGGUGGUGGUGGUGGUGGAGUGGAGGAGGUGUUCUUGAUGGUAGUGGUGGAGGUAGGGGUGGUGGUGUUCUAAGCUGGGUUGGAGGAGGCGGCAGUGGUGGUGUUCUAGGUGGUGGUGGCAUUCUAGGUGGUGGCAGAGGAGUUCUUGGUGGUGGCAGUGGUGGAGGAGGAGUUCUUCAUGGCAGCAGCGGAGGAGUUCUUGGUAGCGGAAGUGGAGGUGUUCUAGGUGGUGGUGGUGGGGGAGGGGGUGUUCUCAGUGGUGGUGGUGCCGGUGUUCUAGUGAGGAGGAGGUGUUCUUGGUGGUGCUGGUGGUGUUCUUGGCAGUCGUGGGGUGGUGUUGUAGGUGGCAAUGGCAGAGGAGUUCUUGGCAGUGGUGGUAGUGAUGGUGGUGGAGGUGAACAAGCAUUUGGAGUAAAAUAAUAGGGUCCAUAUGAUUAUAUCCAUUAUUGAUGCAUGUUCUUAAGGAUUGGCCAAUUGAUCUACCAUUUAUGUCUGUUAAAAAAGAACACCCCUGGGGUGCUCUAGUCAUGUCCACGCUCACUCGGCAACUCCCAAUAUCUAUUCUAGUCUUCACUAAUUCAAAGAUAUCAAAGUAUCCUUUGCUAUUUGUAAAUGAUGAAUCUGGACAAACCAGGUUUACCUUGGCAUAAGAUUAGAAAAAUACAGAAGAUAAAUAAUUUUUCUUACUGAAGAUGCCACUCAAAGAGCAAACCACAGUUAGUACAAUAAAUAUAGCCUUCCACUUUGAUGUGGCAGCACAAUAAUUCUCAUUUUUCAGAAUUACUGCAAGUAAUAAAAUUAAAUAGAGAAAUGUUUUUCUUUCCAUACUUAAUGAGGUAAAAGAAUGCCCUUUUAUAAUCUGCAUUGCAUCAAGUGAAAAAAUCUAAGGUACAACUAAUCAGCUGCUAGACUUUUUUUUCAAACUCAGAUUUUCUGAUUUAUGUGAUCUCAUGUUUCCAUUUACUAUGCCAAUGAUCUACUAUUGUAAUAAUAAUAAUAAUAAUAGUGAAAAAUCUCAGUAUACUUUCUUAGAAAGUACAAAAUUUAGACUUUGUAUCUAAUCUUGUCUAAGACAUAUUUGUUCAAAUGAUUAAAAUAGUGGUUAACACCUAGAUUAAGAAAGUUGAGUGGCUGAGUUGAGCUACAUGGUGUAUCUAGAUGCCCAUCCUUAUGCUACAUGGGCAUCUAGAUAGGUGGUAUAUAUGCUAACAUCAAACAUCCCACCCAGAUCUUCAUUACUGUUUGGUGCUGGACUCCAAUUUUCCCCAGGUAAAACAAUCUAUGUGUCAGUUGUAAAUCUACUUUUUUAACCUUUAACCUUUAUACUUUUACAGUCUAGCAGAAUAUUCUUAGAAUAACUUUUAUUUUGUUGCUUUUCAAGGUCAUAAGGGUCAAAGGAAAUAAGUAGAUCACUCAUCUUGGUGCAACAGAGCUGCCAAGCAAUUGGUCUUUAGUCUUCCAUCACCCACACUUUCUUGCAAUGCUCAAUAAAUUAGGCACCUCUAGUAGCCACACUAUUGUAUCCUUGGAUUCUGUUUGUGGAAAUAGUGUGUAUUUUGACACUAAAGAUGCUAUAAUUGAUCAAGUUCUGGUCAACACAUUUUAGUCUAGUUAUUUUCAACAGGUAGAUCAUGUUUAAAAGCCUAUAAAAGGCCAAUAACAACCUUCAUGGUUGUUGAGAACCUCCAGAAAUAAAAAGAUUUCUGAGGGCUUAAUACCUUCGAUCUAGAAUCCAGCCUAGCAAUAUUGAGCUGGCAGAGAGUUCAUAUAGGGAUGGCUUGGCUUAAGAUCACAUAUCCUUAACCAUAUUGAAACUUAGAUAAUGAAAGGAUGCCAAAAGCCAUAAAGAUCACAAACAUCUGUUCUAUCACCUUAUUCUAUUUCAUAUUAUUCCAUUCACCUUAUUCCAUGAAUGAAGUACCACCAAAAUGCUUACCUCUCACUAUGGUCUUUCUAUGAAAUGGCAAUGGUGAAUGAUUAUGUUUCUUGGCAAUGGUUAUAGAGAGGAUAAUUGAAAAAUAUCACAUGAUAAUUUUUAAAUUUUACUUAUUAUUUUUAUAUUAUUCUUUCAAUUAAAUAAGCAAACCCUAGCAUAGAGCCGAGGUUUGCAGCGCCACGAACAGAUCAUUCUCGCCAGCGUCUGGAGAUGGCGGCGCCGGCGCCUCCGCUUUGCCCUCCAGGAUCUGCACCACGCGGCUCAUCGCUGGCCUAGAUCCUGGAUCCUGGUGGAUGCACCACAGCGCGAUCUUGAGCGCCGUCUUGAAUUGCUCCCAAUCCACGCUGCCGCUCGCCAGGUUUGGAUCGGCAAUGCUCUCCAGCUCCGAGGUCAUUUACUUGUGGAACACUCGCCGGGCGGUGGCAGUGGCGCAUUCUCGUAUUCCUUAUCUCCGCUGCCGAGCUCCAUGAGGGCCUUCCUCUUGCCGCUCAAGAUAUCCAGCAGGAGCAUCCCAAAGCUAUAGACGUUGGCCUUGGGGGUGAUGGAUUGGCUCUCGAGCCACUCCGGGGCCAGGUAUCCCCUGGUUCCUUGCACGGUGGUGACGCUCAUCGAUUCUUUUCUCAUCAUCCUCGCCAGCCCAAAGUCGGCCACCUUUGGCCGGCCAGCAGCACGUUUUGUGGCUUGAUAUCGCAGUGGACGAUGCGCUCGCCACAGGAGGUAUGUCAAUCCUUUGGCAAUCCCCAGCGCGAUUGAGUGUUGUGUCUCCGAGGUUGAGAAGAUCUCUUGGGAGGCGGCAGACGAGGACGAGGCCGAGAGGUGGUGGUCGAGAGAACCGUUUGUCAUGAACUGGUAGACGAGGAGGUGGCGGUCUCCCUCGGCGCAGUAGCCGAGGAGGCGGACCAAGUUGACGUGGUGUACUCUUCCAAUCGUGCUCACCUCGGCUUUGCAUUGCUUCUCGGCCUGGUUCACGGUGGUGAUCUUCUUCACGGCCACAAUACCACCUUUCUCCGGUAUGUUUCCUCUAUACACGCUCUCGAAUCCUCCCGAGCCUAACUCGUUGCGGAAGUUGUCCGUAGCAUCCUGGAGCUGGCGAUACGUGAACUUGGUCGGGAGCCCCUCGAUCUCUCCCGUCAUCUCCUCCCAUUUCCUGCGGGAGGUUUUCGUCCACACAGCCGCCACGACCGCGGCUCCAGUGGCAAACAGCCCGAGCUCGACGAUGGCCACGGACAGAAUGAUGGGGUGCCGCGAGAGGUAGACUGUCCAUUUGUUUAUCUUUCGCAUGACUUGGUCACUCACAGUGGCGUUUGCAUCCGCGAGGAAGGGAUCGUGCUGGUCGUCGGCUGCAGAUGUGUCCAGGCUCGACAACUUCAUAAACACCAUGUUGAUCUCGUUUAAGGUCUGCUUACCGUUGUAGAGCUUGUUGGAGCUGCCUUUGAGGAAGCACAAGCCCGUGCCGUCGUACUUGUACGCGGCUGCCAGGCACUUACAGUCUUGCAUGCAGGUGUCCUUGCACUUCUCGAGCGACUUGAUGGCCGAGUCGAAGUUGUAAUCGUUGAAGUAGUAGUCUGCUCGAUUCACCUGGACGAGCUUCACCGAGUUCGAGGAGUUUUGACAACCUCCCAGAGGUAUGUCGUAGUCACAUCCCUUCGAUUCGUCGUUUGGAUCAACUCGGUGAAAGCCAGGAGGACAGCUGCAAGUUUUUGUGGGCCUGUAGGUGCAGAGAGCGAAAGGUCCACAUGUUCCAGGACGUCGCACUCGUGCAUGACGGCUUGCCAGACGAUGCUCCAGGAGCCACUCUUGUUCUUCUAGAUCCUGAGAUUGCCAUCGUUGUCCAGCGUAAGUCUCCUCAACACAUUCCCAUCGUCAUAGUCAAGCGCGUAGGCUUGUGAACUCAUUGAUCCUGAUGCCCAACUCUUUCCAGUUGCGUCGUAAAAGGAAAGGACCCCUUGAGAGCUCAAGUUCAAGACGGCCGGGAACUUGAGAGAACGAUCAAGCUGUUCAAGACGUGCUCUCCGGUUUCGUCAUCCAGGCAAGUCAUGGUGGAGUUCAGUGUCGGAUUUGCAAUAGACCAGUACUUUUGCGGGACCUCCAGCUUUAAGUUCUUGAGCAGCACCUGACCACUGUUGAGAACAAGCUGGUAUGCUCCAGAUUGAGAAAUCAACCUCGUGUAUCCCAAGGACGGAUUUCCUUGCGUGCGGAGCUGCUGCUCGGGCAGAAGGUUGUUCGUUGGAGAGUCGAAGCUCUGCCAUGCAACUUUCUUGUCUUUCUGAAGGACAACUAAGUUCCCGUUCUCGAGCAGCGCAGCACUUUCAGCACAACAUUGUCCGGGAUUGGUUUGCCAGAAGGGGACGGAGCUGCUGCCAUCAGUGACGGAAAGUCCUCCCUUGGCUUUCAACUCAAGCUUGGCAUUUUCACUCACCUGGACCAGCUGCCCGUUUGCCAUUGCCAUCCAGACGACAGUCUUCUUCGGAUCUAUAUCAUACCAGAUCGCGAGAUUGAAGUUCCGGGUGCUUGAAGUCUCAGGCAUUACGAAUCCAAAUCCAAAGGUUCCUCCAGGUGAUCUCCAAGGGCUUCCUGUUGUGACAGUGCUUCCGCGCAAGAAGUCGGCCAGGACUCUGCUGUAGUAAGUCGAAGAGAGCAGCAGCAUGAGAGUAUGUAGCUUCAUGAAUGUUGUUUCUGACAUGGUUUCUCCAAAGCUUGCUCUCACUAAGUUUUUCUUCUUUAUUGCAGUUCUGUCGUUUCGUUGGAGUUACGUUCCCGGAUUGAAUUGAUCAAAGCCCAAGUCAAUCGUUGUGAAAGUCAUCUACUUUCAGGUUGACUUUGCUAAGGAUACUACUAUUAUAAGUAGUUCUUGUGAGGUAUGAUCAGUUUUAUUUUCAAUUGUUUUUAUUGCCAUGAAUUUGUAGCAAAACUCAGAAGGAUAUGAGAAAUCAUGGAGGAUAUCUUGUAGUUGACAUCGACCAAGUCAAAUUGUAGUUCUGAUAUAGCUUUCAGAGUUCACUUAUUUUCUAACUAGGGAGGUGCAUUUGCAGGAGAAAGAACAAGAACUUUUUUUCCUGAUGGCAGCAAAACUAGUGACGCUAGUUCUACUGGUGCUCCUGGUGCUGAAUUGCAAGGGGAUUGGACUGGGAGACAAGCUUGGUGCGGGGCAGCCACCAUGGAUGUCACUUAACAGCACUUUUGCAUUUGGAUUCCACACAAGCGAUGGGAUUGGUGAGCUCUUUACUCUUGCAAUCUGGCAUCAAAGGACAGGAACAGUAGUAUGGGAGGCCACUGAAGCGCUCAUCAAGAAUGGUAGCACGACCGAGAAACCGAAGAUCAAAGUAGGCAAAACUGGAGAGCUCGAGCUUAAAGAAACUGGACUCAUCGUUACAGACAAGUCCAUGACAGUAUGGCUUGUCCGCUGUGAGAAUUGUUCUAUCGCCACCGCGUCCUUGGAAGAAACUGGCAACUUUGUGCUGCUCGACCGUAGCUCGGACAGGAUUUGGCAAAGUUUUGACUUCCCAACAGAUACUCUCCUUCCUGGACAAGAACUUCGUGGAAAUACGAGUUUGGUCGCUGGAAAGUACCGGCUUAGCAUGAACAGGCGGGGUAUUGAACUCUACUUCCAGGACUACUUGAAUCAAUCCUACUGGGGCAUCAUCAACAAGCAGCUCAACACCUCAGAGUCGACAAUGACUUCUACUCCGAAGUUCACUUUCAGCAUCGAUGGUCAUCUUGCCUUUUUCGAUGCCAACGGAAGCUCCUGGUACCGCUACAAGUUCGACAACGCUCAAAAGUACCCGAUAGAUCUCGGCGAUACGAGCGUGAUCCGGAGGCUCACGCUGGAAAAAAACGGAAUGUUGAGGAGUUAUAGCUGUGGCAGCGGGGAAAAAAGGUGGAGAGUGGUAUGGCAGUCGGCAUUGCUCGAAUGUGAAAUUUUUGGGACGUGUGGAGCUUUUGGCUUGUGUGGAUACAAGCCGAGGAAGAGCUGCUCGUGUCCACCGGGAUUUCAUGCUGUGGAUUCCAGUGAAUCGGCCGGAUGCGUCCGCAACUUUCCCCUCAGCUGUUCUUCCGGUAACGCUACUUCUUCUGCGAGCAAGAUGGUGGAAGUUCAGAGGGCCAUGUACGUUGGAAAUCUUUUGCAACAACUCUCCAAAGAUCCGAUUUCCCUCGAGCAGUGCAAGGUCUCUUGUUUGAAGGAUUGCCGCUGCCUGGGUGCUACGUACAUGCUCGCGGGAACAAAACGUUGUAGUCUUCUUGGUGGUGAAGAUGGAAGACUCUUCAAUGGUGUCCAGGCAAUGGAGCGGACCUCCAUCGCACUUCUCAAAGUUUCGGCACUGGAUCCAUUGACAACUUCUUUCUCCGAGGACGUGUUUGUGACGGUCCUGGAUGCUUAUACGCCGUCACUCCCCGAUUCUUUGAGAAACUGGAGUUACUUCUCUGACGCGGGUCACAGACUGGUCUUUGCCAUCGCAAUUGGAGAGCUCGCCAGUUUCUUGUGCAUCGCGUUGUCGGCGUGGUUCUGCUGGCGAAGAUCUCUUCGUGAAAUGUGGAAGAAAGCCGCCAAGGAUCACCGCGGCCCGACAUGGUUCUCGUACGAGCAGCUGGAAGUUGCCACAAACCAUUUUAGCUGCAAGCUCGGGGCCGGUGGAUUCGGAAGUGUUUACAAGGGUGUUCUUCCGGAUAUGACGGUGGUGGCAGUAAAAACUCUUGAAGGAGCUGCCAGCCACGGCGAGAAACAGUUUAAAGCCGAGGUCGCCACCCUUGGAAGGGUUCAUCACGUCAACUUAGUGAAACUUUUGGGCUACUGCGCUGAGGGAAGCCAUCGUUUACUCGUCUACGAGUUCCUGAGCAACGGAUCACUGGACCAAGAGUGUAGCGAUCUCUGGGGAACGAGGUAUGUUCGUGCUCUUUCCAAAGUUUGUCUACUAAGUUGGUUUACAGGUACUCGAUUGCUCUUGGUGUUGCAAAGGGCAUCACGUACUUGCACGAGGAGUGCUACGAUUGCAUCCUCCACUGCGACAUCAAGCCGCAAAACGUUCUCCUCGACGAGAACUUCUGUCCAAAGGUGUCGGACUUUGGCCUGGCCAAGCUCACUGACAAAGAGCGGGCUCUCGACGUGACCACCAUCCGAGGAACUCGAGGCUACAUGGCACCCGAGUGGGUCGGCGACCGUCCCAUCACCUCCAAAGUGGACGUCUACAGCUACGGCAUGGUGCUACUGGAGCUGCUCAGCGGCAACGACAAGUCGAGAAUCGGCCAGAACCGCUACUUUCCAGUGUGGGCUUUUCAAAAGUACGUGGCCGGAGAGCUCCACGCCAUCGCGGACCCGGGGCUUAAAAGCUUGGAGUGGAACGAGUUCGAGCGGAUGAUCAAGGUGGCGUUUUGGUGCAUCCAGCUCGACGCCAGGUCCAGGCCGAGCAUGAGCCGGGUGGUGCAAAUGCUGGAGGAGCCCGACUUGGAGGUGGCUGUGCCGCCGUUUCCAACGCCAGCCUCGGAGGAAGUGGUGAGCGGGAAUAGUCCGAGCUUUCUUCCUCCACUGUCACAGUCGGUGAUCGAUCCAAGAUAGAAUUCAAGUAAGAAAUCUCUUCAGUCUAUAGAGUGUGAGAAAGUCUCGCGGGACGGGACCAUUUCAAAGCUUCGUCAUCCAACAAGGAGGACUUUGCCCUGUCUGGCCUGCUUCUCUGCCUGUUCCAUGGCGGUCUCGUAGUCCUCGAGAGGAAAUUUAGCCACCACUGGAAGCGAUCCUAUGAUCUUUGCCUGGAAGAGCUCUGGGAUCUCUUUGGCCAUCAGCUCUUGCAUGUCCCCUGAAGCAGCUGUCAAGCUCCAGAAAGAAUGGGAAACUUUUCUCGCGAGAUCGUUCACCGAUAUCACCGAGUCUGAUGAUUCGAGGCUCCCGAUAGUGAAGACUUUCCCACCAGAUUUCACGCAAGCGGCAGCGAGCUUAGUUUGCGACCCCGAUACCAUGUCGAUCGCUCCCUCCACUCCGGCUCCAUUUGUAAGUUCUUUCACUUUGGCAGCAACAUCUUCCCCACGAAGAUCACGCAAACUUAGAAAUUAUCGGGUCUGGGUGAAUUGUACCUUCUUUUGUCACGUUGAGAACUUCGUCAGCACCGAUGCGCUUGAGCUCUUCCUUGAUUUCGUCACGCCUCACAAGGUUGAUGGUCUUGAUGCCCCAGUGCUUUGCAAGCUUGAUAAUGAUCCUAGUGCGUGAAAGAUCGUUUCGUUUGUGAGAGUCGAGACCCUACUAAAGAUUUACCUUCCGAGCACCGAUCCAGCGCCAUUCUGGAGGACGUAGCUUCCUUUUGGAGCAUUGAUAUCCUUGAGAAGACCAUAGCCCGUCCAAGGAUUGAUAAUCAGCUGUGCCGCAUCCUCGUCGGAGAUGUCAUGAGGCAUCAAAAUCACGUCUUUCUCUGAGACAGUGACAAAAUCCUGCCAAGAGCCUGGUUUGGCAGAGAAAUAGUUCCACAGAAAUAUAGGAACCACUCUAUCCCCUUUCUUCACAUGCCUUACACCUUCUCCCACCUUCAAGAGAUUGGAAACGAUCAGAAUUUCUUCUUCUUCUUUUUCCCUAUGAAACCAACCUCUUCAACUAUGCCAAAGCCUUCACUCCCUGGAACAAACUCACCCUUGUCGAACAUCCCAAUGGAGAAGGACUGCUUGAUGAUGAUGCGAUCGAAGGGAUGGAUGGGCCUGGCAGUGAUGCGCACCACCACACUCCCGGGCUCGGCUGCUCCGGGCCUGGGAACAUUGACAAGCUCCGGGCCUUGAUUCGCCUCCCCGGCACCACAAACCUUUUGACGCACUGCUCUCGCAAAGUUUCCCUCAGCCAUGAUCGCGUUGUUUGCUUGCUGACUUCCUGCUAAACUUUGUUUAUAUAAGUCCGGUACUCUUUCCUUCCAGCUGCAUUGCACCUUUCUUUGUUGUUUCCAAACCAAUAAAAAACAAGAAACAAUGGAAAAUGUUGAAUUUUCCUUCAAGUUCACAAUUUCGGAAAGUUUCUCUAGACAAAGUCACUGUUAAAUUUUAUGCCAUCUCCUGUGGGGGUUAAUACGUAUUUAUGUAGCCAGUUUGAGUUCGAGAUCAUGAAUGUCAUCAAAUUCUUUUUCAUUAAGAAGCGCACACAUAAAUACAUAAUAGUUUAUACUUUUACAUAGUAAGACCUCAACCUUUAUCAGGAUUAGGAAUCAUAUUGGGAACUGCAAGAAACACUUGACGAGCGCGAGCUUUGACAAUGGAAGAAACAGAAGUAACGAACGACUUGAACUUGAGAAAAGGCCGAGAACCUCAUUGGCGGAGAUCACAGGCUCCUCGUCUACGAAUUAAUGCUACUUGACAAAGCCAGUCCUCGUGCACCCACCUCGAGCUGGGACAAACGCUACGCUGUUGGAUCCAGUGGCAUCUCCCAAAAAAACAUGGGCAACUGUGCCGCCACAUAAAAUGAAAACUUGUGGGCUCGGAGGUCUUAAAGUUCCAAUGCGCAAAAGCAAAAGAGCCAGCCAUGGUUGGACAGGUCGCUACUCAUAAUGCUUUCGUGCGUGAUCACUCUUCCUUCGAAGAUUUGUGGUUUGUUUUUCCAAACCUUUCUUAUGUGCUAUGGUGACAGACAGUCCUGUGGUGGCGUGAGAAACAUAAGACUUUGUUUCCAAAGGUUACUAGUCCUACCAAACCUUACGUGUCCCUCAGGUGUCUUAUCAUCUCCAGGACGAGCAGUGGGCUGCCUCGGACUAAAGAUCAACAAAAAAGAUUGCGUCGAUCCAGGAAGAACAUAUCUUAGGCAGAUUAAUCAUUAUUUCGCUGCUACCAUGGGGCCUUGCUAUGACAUAACUAUGACAUAUCACCAAGGAUUAUUUGGACCGCCCGGCUAGCUGGAGCUGCUGCCUGUUGACAACGUCGUGGUAGUAGAGCAGCACGCACAUCGGCUGCCCGACGAUGCAAAAGAAGAACCAGAAGAUCAUGUUGCCGACCAUGGAGCUCUGGAACUUGCGCUGGAGGACGUUGGUCACCAGAACCAGCGGCACCUGGAACAUGAUCCCCAGAAACGCCCAGCCCCGCAGCAUGUGGCACGGCACCGCGAUGCAAAUCUCGUGAAAGAUCCCGGAGAUGACGAACACCACCAGAAUGGCGAGCUGCUUGUGGAGGCCCAGCCGGAGGCACGGGAAGUAGACGUGGCGGACGAGCCAGCGGUGGACGGGCAUGUUCCACAGCCGCCAGUACUCGUCCACCGACUUGGCGUUCCACCAGUCCUUGUAGAACUCGCGGUCGCCGAAGCACAGGAUCUCCGCCACGAUGUUGAGCCACAGGUGGAAGAAGCAGUAGAAGAAGCCGAGCCAGACGUAGAGCGUGGGGAUGGACAGCUUGAGCACGCGCUCGAUCGCGUAGAGGUAGUUCCCCUUGAGCGGGUGCGUCGAGUUCCGGAUGAUCGGAUUCAUGUACUGCCCGAUGAUGAAGCCCAUGAAUCCGUUGAAGACGAUCCACUUGCCCAGCUGCCGGAGCACCCACCCGGUUCUAAUCCGCGGCGAGCGCGGGUAGCUCAGCUGGUAGCACAGCGUCGGCGCCGCCAUGAAGUAGGCGAUGUUCUUGAGCGAGAUGUUGUCCGGGUAGUCGAUCGCCGGCGCCUCGGCGGGGAGCUCGAUCUUGCCACCGUCCUUCUUCACCGCGCGGAUGUCGGCGUUCGUGUGCGCGUAGGAGACGAGCUUGAGCCAGCCGGUGACGGCGAUGAGCAUGAGAACCAGCCCCGAGAGGAGAUCCGACUGGAACAUCUCGAUCACGUAGAUCGGGUAGAGCAGCGCGGCGGCGAGGUUGAUCAAGUGGAGCGGCGCCACGGCGGUGGCGGGACGGCGGGCCUUGAUCUUCUCGAUGACAUAGGCGGCGAGGGGGAAGAUCAGCAGGGAGAGGCCACACAUGAGGAGCGGCCAGUCCUUGAGCGACUUGGAGCUGAAGAGGACCUCGGCCUGGAUGAGGAGGCCAUACUUCAUGAGAUUCUCGAUGAUGAGCCGGCUGUUCACCGCCACCAGCACGACGAUGCAGAGGUUGAAGAGGCCGGCGUGGCUCUGCGUGAAGAUGGCGUCGGAGCUGAGCGGGCUCUCCUUGCUCCGCCGGUGCGCCGGGAGCGAGGGCCGCAUGGCUUGCAUGGCCGCCGCGAGGAAAAGGAGGAGGAGGAGGAGAAUCCAAGCGGCGGCGAGAACAAAUGUACCUGCGCGGAGGGAUCGGCGGAUCCAGCAAGGAGCGGGGAGGCGCAGGCGCAGUAAAUUCUCAUGCCCUGGCGCUCCGGGCUUCCUCCUGAAAGCUGGACAUAGAGGAACCCUAGAAAUUCCCAAUUUUAGGGUUCUUGGGCAGGGGAGAGUUAGGGCUCUUGGGCAUUAGGAAAUCCCAACUUUUAGGGUUCUUGGGCCAAAGUUAGGGUUCUUGGGCAGGGAGGGGCGAGAAUGACCAAGGUCGUGGCCGGCGCGGGCGCCAAUCUCCUGUCCCAGCACGCCAAGGAGCACAACCAGGACGCGACCGCGUACGUGGGCAACCUGGAUCCCCAGGUAACCGAGGACAUCCUGUGGGAGCUCUUCACGCAGGUGGCCCGCGUCCAGAGCGUCUACAUCCCGCGCGACAAGAUUACCACCGCGCACUCGGGCUACGGCUUCGUGGAGCUGGCCAACGAGACGGCGGUGGACUACGCCGUCAAGAUCCUCAACAACUGCCGCCUCUACGGGCGGUGCAUCCGGAUGAGCAAGGCCUCGCACAAGGACGAGAACGUCGGCGCCAAUCUCUUCGUGGGCAACCUCAGCCGGACCGUGGACAACUAUCUCCUGGGAUCCAUCUUCAGCGGCUUCGGCCGCGUCGUCUACUCGAGCGUCGUCCACUCGGACGACCAGACGCGGCCCGGCUAUGGCUUCGUGCACUACGACUGCUUCGAGGCGUCGGACCUGGCCAUCGAGAGCAUGGACAAGCAGUUCAUCGAGAACCAGCAGGUGAGCGUGUCGUACGCGCGCAAGAAGGACAGCGGCGAGCUGCACGGGUCGCCCGCGGAGCGCGAGAUCGCCGCCAAGAACCCCGACCGGAAGCCGCACAUCAUCCCCAAGUUCCAGCCGCCGCUGCCGCCGCCCGAGGCCUCCGCCGCCACCGGGGGGUACUACCAUGGUUACGGUAGCGGGGUGCCGUACACGGUGAUGCCGCCGCCGCCCCCCCAGCAGCACGACUGGUCGCACCACCACCACCACGCGCAGGCGGCGCCGCCCGCGCCGGCGGUGGUAGCGGCGCCGCCACCGCCGCAGGGGCAGUGGUUCCCGUCGCCAGGGGCGCCGCCACCGCACCAGGCGUGGAUGCCACCACCGCCUCCGCGGAUGUAAGGUAGCCACUUUUUUUCUUUUCUUAGAGUUGUGGAAGCUCUAGCAGAGCUUUGGAUGAAAGACUGUAUGCUAUAAGUUUUGUCCAGGAAUCUAUCUCCAAAAAGUUUGGAAGCUGUAUAUGCUUCAACCGAGAAGAUAGAUCAUAAACCAAGAACAAAAGCAAAGAAAUGUACGCACAAACAGGAGUUACAAAGUUUCGAAGAUCUACAGCCACAGCCAGUUCCUCAUUGCUUCUACGAGAAGAUAGAUCAAAAACCAGCAAGAACAAAAGCAAAAAACUGUUACCUUAGCGAACGAAGUCGAGCUUUCCAGUUUGCAAAGAAGCUCGUAUGCACAUCUGCGGUCGAGCUUAUGCUGGAGCCGAAAGUCCCGUCCCGCGUACUGCGAGCACAAGGCCUCGGUGUCUGACGUGAGCGGCGGGAGUAUCUCCGAGCAGCUUGGAAGACACGGAGACGCAGGAGCCACCGCCUCGCCGCUUUCAUAAGCCAAGUCCGCUGCCAGGAUCCACACGAGAUCUGGAUCGCUGCUUGAUAGAGCACUCGCUGUCUCCGCGGCUAGCUCUUUCAGCUCCCACUGACUGCAAGCUAAGCUCACCACCGCCCCGGCAACCGUCUCAAAGAUUGCAUCCAAGGCUGGAGCACUCUUCUUGUCCCCGCUUAUAGCUUUGAUGCACUUGAGCGCUGCUUCUUGGACUUUACGAACUGUUCCUGGAGACUCCCUGGUGGCAAGAGCUCGAGUGGCAGGCUGCGCUAUAAGCUGGUCGAGACCGACCCGGCCUCCAGUUACCGGACCGUCUUGAAGAAGCCGUAGAAGCAAAGGCAGGACGUCCUUUUGCAGGCGACGAGCUAGAAAAGAUCCACCGCAUUCGCGCGCAACAAAUGCUAUGGCACUCAAACAUCUUACGAGAACCUGCGAAGGAAAACUUGUCUGCAAACUGGAAAAAGAGAGUAGCACUUAAGCUAGCUUACCGCUGGGUGUUCACUCCUCAAGCAGCAUACUACGUGAGGCCAGAUCUGGUGGAUGGUAGGAAGAAGCUUGUUCCCGUCGUUGGGGUCCCUGUCCGGUGUUUCAUAAUCCAAGUUGCCUUGGGACCUUUCGAAAGCUUGCAUGGCUUCUUCCCAUCUCAAGUUGCUAGCUUUAUAAGCGGCUUCGAUCUUAGACAGCGCUGCAACACCAUCCUGUAACAACAUCACGGCUCAUUAACAUUUGCGAACACUCUGUUCAAUACCAACCUCUAUUAUGUCAAGUGCAAGAAUCCUCGCGGGGAUAUUUUUCGAGGCAAGUAGCGGAGCCGAAGACACAAUGCACGAAGAUGCCACCGUCAAAACUGAAUGGUGGCAUCUUUUGUGCUGCAGCAACGUCUGAAUGUUCUGCUCCCCUUCAUCCAUAGAUGAUGGCAAAUCUGAAAGAUAGCUUCGCUCAGAAACGAAUACAGUAAAACACCAUACCCACCACUCGACGCUAGUUCAAAGCUUUCAUGCCUAGCAGCUCUAGUUAUUUCUCGCAGUGCCUGUUAUCAAUGUGAUUAGCUAGUUGAUGACGAUUUCAUACACCAUUACCUUCAGGAUUGGAACCGUAAGGUAAGGAUGGUGGUGCCUGCCAGGUAUUUCCAGUUCCUGGAGAAGACCUCGCAUCUAAACCAGGGAGAGUUAAGCAAGUUGAGACUUCAGAUCACUUACUGGUUCUUCGAGGAGGGGAAGCAGGUCGGCUGCAGCUCCAGUUUGUUGUAAUAUAGCGGUCAAAAACUCAGGCGCAUGAGGAUACAUUGAUAUGUGCCUCAGUUGCCGACACAACGAAUCCACCACAUGAUCCAAAUUUGCCACUACCAGUUUUUGCACCUAGAAACGGAAAAAAACGAGUUAUUAUCCACAAUUUGUAAGCAGAAGCAUAACUUACAGAAACAUAACCGGAGUGAUGGGAAAUUGCACGUAACGAAAUGCUCGCUGCGUGGGCGACCGAAUAUCGGCUACAGCCCAGCUUCUCCAAUAGGGGAUAAAUCACCAAGCCCAAGUAGCCGCUGGUUUCGAACGAGCUUCCCAAAGUCAUUCCGAAAAUUCCAACACCUUCAAUAAGCACCUGUAAAGCUUUUAUGAGACGAUCAUGCAAGAAAUACACAAACCUGUUGAAGUGUUGCAUUGUCUUCGAGGAUAGCCAGAUCACUCUCGUCACUUCCUUGAGAAUCAACUGGAAGAUCCCACAAUUCUGACACCAUGUAAUCGUGAAGGACGUCGUCAAUGGCGUCACGGACAUGUGAAAGAAAGUCUGCCUUCGGCAGCGGAUCCCAUUCAUUGGAUUCUUUACUUCCGAAGAGAUUAUUCCUGUCCAGCCAAGUUCCAGAUGCUCCGUAGAUAAUCUCGUUCAAUGCGCAAGCUGCAGCGGCAGCAGAGCGUCGAAGCUGGCCACCCUUGUCAGCUCCACUUUCCGAUGCACAAUCACGGAUAGACGACUGGAGGAGUAGUAGCAAGUCCGCUAAACUUGGUUUGUCGACAGAACCUCUCAAGCUCGAGAAACCAGCAAGUCUCAGAGUGCUUGCCAGUGCAUCAUACAGCUUCACUUUUCCAGCCUGCGUGAACCAAGGAGCUGUCCGAGGCAACUGAUCAUUUGCCACUUCAGCCUCAAGACUCGCUCCAUGCGGAAGUGAAAUCUCUCGAAACUUGUAGCCUCCGGAUUCAAUGUAGCCGGACGAUGCAAACGUUGAAGGAAGACUUAGAGAUUGUGUCAUAAUAGUGAUGAACCGCGAAACACAAGCCUGAAACAUCCGUCAGCCUUCAAUUCCAAAAGAUACUCAAAUUAAUUCAGGCUUACCGGAGAUUGAAACAGCGACGUAAAGACAGCUCUGGGGCCUGAGUAAUACAUUGCGGCUGCUAGUCGUCGCGCAUGAUGCAAUGCAGAAACUUCAUCCGCUGAAAUAACAACUUUAGGCAGAUCCUCCAAAAGCCUGGAUCAUCAACUGUUAGGCUUUAUCACAGUACUUGACUUUCAAACCUGUUGAGAACAGCAGUGAAAGCCGAUCUUAGUUUGGAGUCACUUCCGGAAUGCGCGAGGAAUGAAAGACGGUGACUUGCAGUGGCCGAAACGGAGCUUGAAUCACCGCAAGCAAAGAGCAGCAGAGUUUCCUGACAUACAUCAGUCAUUCCCCAACAACGAUCGCUAGCAAAUAUUGAUCUUACCAAAAGCAAUGGCAUGCAGACUUCCAAGGUCUUCUGGCAAGAUCCAAUUAUUUGCCCGGUAGCUUCCACGACCGCUUUACGUACAGCUGCGACCGGAUGAGCACAAAGCUGAAACCAUGUCAAGAAGCUUGAACUGCAAAAAGAAAAGGAGGAAGUUUCAAACGUACCAAGGGAAGAACAUCCUGUAACAACUUGUCGAUAUGAGAUACUGUGUCGGCAAGCCACCUUUCGUGGCACUCUACGCGCAUGACCUUUCGAUCCUCCAUGCUCGUGUCUGCAACCUCAAGCUGAUGCUCAUCACGUCGAGUUUCAUGUACCGCCUUCUUCGACAGCUUUUGCAAAGCUCCCAAAGCUUCCUGGUCCUGAAUGCGAGGAGUGGCGAUGUCUGCAGUUACUAAACUCCGGGAAUCCGCAAGCACGAGAACGAGCAGCUCGGCAAUCCCCAGGAUCGCCUCACUCAACGACCGGCUGCUGGCAGCUGCUCCAACGGAAUAGAACUGCGCGGCGGAAACAAAACCCGACCUCCCGUUGCUCACAACUGCACCCUUGAUCACUUUUCCAAGCCCGCUGGCAACACCGGGAAGAAAAAACGCGAGAGCAUCGGGCGAUGCAACCUGGAAGAACUCUAUUCAGCAAGAGAAGAAAAGGAAGAACUUGAAUCACCUUCGUCACGACGAUUCUAAGCGUUGCAAGAGAGUCGGCUCGUAUUGAUCCACUCCCCACGCCAGCUCUUGCAGCCUCGGCAUGAGAGAUCUGCAAGAAGAAUCUAGUCACACUCAAGAGAAAAACCACACAAAAAUACCUGGAGUAAGACCGAGAACAAAUGGCCGAUGGCGGCGGCCAUCUCCUCCGACCGCAUUCUCUCCGCGACAUCUCCCUGAGGAGGCAAAUGCUGGAACAUGGAAGCCAGGCAUUUGACAACCCCGUGGCGGAAUUCUUCCGACGCCUCGUCGGGCGUGAGCAUGGCCGCGCCGACGAGUUUCCGCAGCAGCGUCGCCAUCUCCUGGAUGUCUUGGACGGGGCAUUUCCGCAGCAGAAUCUCCAAACACGCAGCAACUCUCUCCGCCAAUCUGUCGCUCACGAUCACGGGCUUGGAUCGCACCGCUACGCCCUUGGCUCGCAGCACCACGGCCGCGUCGAUGAGGAGCAGCAGUGGGAAGAGCGCACACCUGACGAUUCAUCCCAGAAUGAGGGAGAGAGAGAGAAAGGGGGGGAUUUUCACUUUGCUUACUGGUAGCAGCUCUGGAGAGCCGAUGCCGGGAGUGCCUCCAAAACCUUCUCGAGGGCCUCUGCCGCCUCGAUCGCCUGGCCCUGCGCCUCGAUGCCCGCGGUGGGAAGCUCCAGGAGCUUCGUGCACAGAGGCCGGAGCGCCGAAGAGGCCAUCAUUCACAUUUUUAGGGUUUAUACAGAGAAAAACUUAAACCCUUUUGCCCAAGGUGCUAACGAUUUUGUAAAAAUGCGGUUUUGCGAUAAAUUAUUAACAUACUAUUACUUAACAGGAUUUUCACUUGCGCAAUACCCUAAUGGACGAGUCACUCCCCACAUUCUUGCUCUCAAAAGCUUCCAUGGAACUUUGAUCUUGGAGCAGGGUUGAUCUUUAAAAGCAGUCUAGGACCAAUCAACUGGGAAAAGAGGCUUCCUUGGAUCAAGCAGACGAAUUGGCUAGAUCUUUUGCUCAAAAGUAACGGAGCUGGCUGAUCAGAGAGAGCGAGAAAGAGGCCAGAUCCAUUUAUUUAACGAUUACAUCAAUACGGACUUCUACGCAUUCAUAUCCAACAAAAAAGAAUCUUUUGUGAGAGAGAAGUGUUUGGACGUCAGUACACAUGGAAAGGCAAAAGGAACACGGGUUGAAUACUGAAAGCAACACCUUGACUGCUGGGCUCAUUCAAUAACAAUAUCUCAUCACAAUAUAAGAACAAAGACCGAGACACAGAGCAAGCAAUGGCAAGUGUUGCGGAUCUACAGCUUGAUGGUCUGGUCAUUCACCAAGAUGGUUCAUACACUCGUGGAACAAUCCCAACGAGUCCGGCAAAUCCCGAUUUUGUGGAUGGAGUGGCCUCGAAAGAUCUGACAAUUGAGGAGGAAAGCAAUCUGUGGGUGAGGGUAUUCUGUCCCCAGCAGAAGCAUGAAUCUGGUAAGCUGCCUAUCCUAUGGAGGUGGGUUCAUUCAAUCCAGCGCUGAUGAUAUUGGAUACCACCACCUUUGCGAGGAUUUUGCAAAAUCGGUGGUUGCACUUGUGGUCUCCGUGAAUUACCGGAUUGCACCAGAGCACCGCUUGCCAGUUGCUUAUGAGGACGGAUUUACCGCUCUGAAAUGGCUUCAAGCAGUGGCCAAGAAGGAAGUUACCGCGCCCUGGCUGUCGGACUGUGCUGAUUUUACCAAGGUUUUCGUGGUGGGCGAUAGCGCUGCAGGGAAUAUUGUUUAUCAUGUCAUGAAGCGAGCUUCAGCGAAGAGUGGCUCGGAUUUGAAGCCACUGGUUCUGGCUGGCCAGAUUCUCAUCCAGCCGUUCUUUGGAGGUGUUGAGCGGACUCCCCCUGAGCUCGUCGAGUUCAAGCCUGGCCAACUUACGACUGAGUUGUGCGAUGUGUUUUGGAAGUACACGCUCCCAGAUGGAGCCAACAGAGAUCAUCCAUACUGCAACCCAAUGGUGGAGCUCCCCCAUGCUCUCAAUGAUGCGGAUAUGCCAAGGACACUUGUUGUGAUCGGGACCGCUGAUUUGCUCCAUGAAAGGCAGCUCGACUUUGCAAAGAAAGUGAAGGAGAUUGGCAUCCCAGUUCAGCAGGUUGUGUUUGAGAAUGCAGGCCAUGCGUUUUACAUGACUGAAGGACAGGAGAGAGUGAAGCUUGUGGAAGUUCUGACAGAAUUUGUAAGUCAAGAGAUAUAAUACAAAACAUUUGAUACCACUUUUUAGCUCAUGAGCUCAGAAUUCAAUAAAUCUAAUUGUCUUUAAUUCUUCAUUUAUUAUUUCAAAAAAUGUCUAAAUUUUGUUUUGAGUCUUACAAAUAAUCGCCACAGGAGCACUGUCCAUCUCUAAAAAUAUGGAGCCUGCUCGCAUACACUCCUCCAGCUUGGAGAUGAUUGCCGUGGCUUUUUGACAAUCCUGGCACACUCUCAAAUAACUGACGACACUUCCUGGCUUGGAAUUGAUCAACGCACAAGGGACUGCAAGCUUCUCGCUGUGCUAGGCACAUCCUCUUUCUCGCCAACAUCCUCGCAAAAACUUUGCUCCUCUCAUCAAGCUUGCCUGUGCUCGAGUAUAUGUUGGCCAUGAGAACAUAUGCCGCAGCACUGCUCGCGUCGAGCUCCACCAACGACUCGAAAGCCACCUCCCUCACGGCCACAUUCUUCCAUUUACACACCCCAAGCAGCGUCUUCCAGAGGCAUGGAUUCAAUCACGUUUACUGCCCUGGGUUGCGAGGCCCAGCAUACGUAGUGCUCUUUCCCUGGAGAAAUUCCAAGCUUGUUGCUCAUCACUGUGAAAUACUUCCUUGCCUCUUCGACCAGACUGGUAUGGCUGUAAGCGCUCAAAACCGACAUGAAGGUCUCGGACCCGUCACUGCACUGGAAGAUGGAGACCAUGCCUUUCAAGCGAAACAUGGAGACAUGGUGCCCUUUUUGGCUCCAGGCCUCUAUUCUCUCCAGCAUCUCACACACCGGCAAUACAUGAUAUCCUGCUAUCAUGGAUCCGCCAAUAGCCAAGAGGUUGACAAGAAUAUUUUAAGACUAUUCUGGCACAGUUAAGGUUUUAGUUAUUAAAUAAGUAUUUUAAACCAAAUUAAUAAGUUUAAUAAUAUUUAGAUCUGUGUAAACUACCAGUAUCUAAUCUUAGUGGCAAUAGUUGCUAUUUAAUAGAGGUUUUGCCUUAUCAACUAGUUUACAGAAGAAAUUAUUAUUUUAAAAUUUAAUACUUAGUAUUUAUAUUAAUUAUUUAAGUUAGCAUUCUCUAAUUUAUAAUAUAUAUUUAUUUAAAGUUUUCAUUGGUUUGCUUAAGCAAAUCUGUAAGGGGAUUGGGAUGGUAGUGGAUAUACCUAGAAUAUGCUUGGAUGUUCUAGGAUAUUCUACCAUCUAAUAGUUGUUAUUCAUUUAGAUUAAUCUUGUAUUUAUAAUUUAUAAACAUGUUUAUAAUUUAUAAACUUUCUUAAACCCUUUCUAGUAUAUUCUUUUUUAUUCUAUCAUCUAAUGGUUGAUAUGCAAUAAGAUUAAUCUUGUAUUUAUAAAUUACAAACAUGCUUAUAAUUAUAAACUUUAUUUGAUCAAUUGGAUUAAUAAGUAAGAAUAACAUUAUUAUUAAGAAAACCAAGCGUUCCUACAUGCAACACAUAGCACUUUAUUAUUACUAUCAAAUCCCAGUCAUAAGUAAUGUCCUAUGUUAUUUUAGAUGUAAUUUAUAAAUAAAAAUUUAUUUAUAUUAUAUUGUGAGGUUCAAGUAUACGGCUACAAUGCCAUAUACUAAUAUUAGUAUAGUGGGAUUUUGGUAGUUGUCAGAUUAGUUUCAAUCUGAACCACUCGCUCCUGUAUAUAAGCUAAAGUUUUUGGGCUAAUUGAUAUGCAUAUUUUCUAUAUUCCCUUUCCAUAUUCCAUGCACUCACAUUGGUGGAGGUGAGGGGCACCUUUGAUUAUUCCCUGAGGAGUGCUUGGAUUUGAGAUUUUGGUUUAGAUUUAGCUUUUGCAUUAUCUAGAUCUAGUUUUUUCCAUUUCCUUUUUUAUGUUCUUUCCUUUUAAGAUUUUGGUUUUGAUCUAGUUUUUUGCAUUGUCUGGAUCUCCCAUUCCUUCUAAAUUAACAAUCUCCUCCUCCUUUGACUCUAGAGUAGUAGUUGGUACAAUUGUUUGAUGCUAUGCAAUUGCAAUUGAACAACCAAAGUUAGUUAAUGGUGGCAUUCACAGCACAUGGUAUAACUCCUCUUGCUCUUGGUGCCAAUCCUUGUGUUCGGCUAGAGUUUUUUCACGGGAAUAAUAGGGAUGAUAUACCAUUAGUUUGAUCACUUCAUAGUGAUUGCCAUAUAUCUCUCUUGGGAUGAUGCUCAACAUUUGCAUGAGUUUCCCAUAUGUCUCCAAGGGAUGGCAUUGCAAUGGUACAAUGGUUUGAGUGCAACCACUCGUAGGGAUUGGAAUGUUCUUUUGGACGUCUUCAAAUGCACAUUCGGACAUGCUGAUGAUUGUGAUGAUGCCUUCCAACAAUUACAUCAUCUUCGUUAAGGGCCAUCUAAGUCGGUGAUGCAAUUUAGCGUUUGUUUCUGAAGCCUCUUACUUCGUGUGGAGCCAAAUAUGUCGGAGUGGAUCAAGCUAGUAAGGUUGUAACUAGCACUUUGUCAAGAUUUUGUUGGACUUGUGCAUGUAUUUGCUCCAACCACCCUUGAUGGUGCUCUCCAUUUGGCACAACAUUCUGAGAUAUCACCUCUUCCACUUCUCAUUGCACAUCCUUCAGCUCCACUUUUUGUGAGCGAUAGUUCUAUUCUAAUGAAGGUUGAUGCUACUGCUACUCUAGUCUAAAGACAAGGGUGAGGCCAUAGUCGUGGCUGUGAUGUUCGUUGCUGGGCAUAUGAUAAAGUUGGUCACACUUAUCAGUAUUGUCAGUGUUUUCUAGAUUGGCAGCCACCAUUUCCUAGGUGGAGACCUUGGCGUCAACAAUGUCCUAUUGGUGUUGCUGUAGUGGAGGGUCUGGACACCAAGAUGCAUCUGGGAAACGAAGAGUCACACAAGUAAUGGAGGGACUUUGUGCGAAUAAGUCAGUAACCCUUUUAUUUUUCUUUCUGGAGUAUCAUUAAGGGGUUCACUCGGCACUAGUUCAUCUAGUGUUUACUUUCCAAACUUGUUUUUAUAACAAGUGGUCUCCUAUUAUUUUCUUCGUGUUGAUUGAUACAGGUUUGAGUUUAUCUUCUAUUGCUCAACCUGUUGCCACACAUUGCCAUCUACACUUGUGUUGUGUAGUGAAGCCAAUUUUCAUUCUUUAUGGCAAUUGCCGUACACAUGUAUGUGUAUAGGAUGACGCAGACUUAGUUGUGCAUAUGGGCAAUCUCAAGUUUGAGUUGCAAUCAUUGCAAGUGGUGCUAAAUUAAGCUUUUGACCUCAUACUUGGUAUGGAUUGGUUGCAGUGCAAUCAUGCCAAGUGUGACUUUGAGACUUCUCCCCCUUGUUUUAUACUUUUUUAUAUUUCAUCCAUUCUUCUCAUUUCUGUACUUCAUCAUCCUUUUAUUUUUACUUCUACUUCCAUUACUUUUAUCCCCCUACUAUUUCCUCCUAUGUUUCCAUCUUAUUCUACUCUUCCCUUUUCCAAUCCUUUUGAAAAUCUUUGUGUUGCAGCAAUUGACCGACUCAUGAAGGAGUAUUUUGAUUUCUUUGAAUUUGACCUAUCGUCUGGGGCCAAGAUUGCCACAUGCCAUCCAAUUCCAACUGGGGAUGCUUGUCCAAUCAAGGUUUCUGUUCGUUGUUGGUGACCCAAAAAUAUCAAUAUUUUACGUAUAAACGUUAAGGAGAUGUUGGAGAAGGGUGUUAUUUGAAAGUCGUGGAGUCCUUGGGUAUAUGAACCUCAUCUUAUGACAAAGCCUAAUGGGUGUAUUCGUUUCUGCAUUGACUAUUGACUAUUGACUAAUAACCCCUAUUGAGCCAAGGGGAACUAACACCUCCAUUUUUGCACUGAUAUACUAAUCCUUCCAUUGUGUAGACUAGUUAUUCCAUGUAAAGCAACAAGUCAUUCACUCGUACUGUAGUCCCAUGGUGGAUACCUUCAUUUGUGGAGUAUGUGUAAACCAGCUAUUCCAUAUGAGGCAACUAGUCAUUCACCUGUACUGUAGUCCCAUGGUGGAUACCUUUGUCCGUGGAUACUCCACAUAAGAGGAAAGACAUACGCACGGAUGCUUAAUAUGUAUGAUUUCAAAUUUAGGUGUAGAAAUAUACCUUGCUCAAGGGUAUAUUAUAUUUUUAAGUAGCCAUUAAUUAAUGGGAAUCGAACCCAUGCCAUUUCCUCUGAUACCACAUGUAAUGCCCCUUAUCUUUCUCUCCUUAAGCCAAUUGGAAAAGAGGCAAUUGCUUGAUGAGAGAGCUUUUAGUGGCUAUUUUAUCCCCAUUUAUCCCCCAAGGUUCCAAGGAUCCAUAGUGACAGUAUAUCCAAAUCUCAUCCCAUGAUCACAUGUGCUACAAGUUUGAACAAUACUCCAGCAACUUUUUAGCGGAUGAUGGAUAAGGUUUUUUGCAAUAUGCCGGAGGUGAUUGCUGACUUCAUUGAUGAUAUCUUAAUCCAUGGAGGGGACAUGGGAGUGUAAGCAACCAAAGGGAACAACUUGAAAGAUGAUCCAUAGGGGUUCAAAUAUAGAAGGAAAGGGCCCAUGAAUAAGAGUGCACCCUUUUUUCCAAUCGGUUAAGGGUCUUGGGAUAUUUGGGGUUAAGUGUCCUUGGGUUAGAAUAGUACUGGGUUGGGUGACCUCCCAGGAAGUCUAAACUCAGGAGCUUACAUUUGGUAUCAGAGCGGUCUCAGGUCCGACUCUGUUGGUUGGCUAGGGGAAUCACACCACAUGUUGAUUGACAUCUGGCUGGUCCAAUUUGCUCCCACUGGGCUCGACUCGAGGGGUAGGGUGUCAAGAGAGCAGGGCUCUCGGGAGAGCUGCGGCUCUCAGCUUCCGUUCACGAGGGCGUGAAUUUGCAGGGAAGCGUGUUGGAUUGUAAGCAACCAAAGGGAACGACUUGAAAGAUGAUCCAUAGGGGUUCAAAUAUAAAGGGAAAGGGCCCAUGAAUAAGAGUGCACCCCCUUUUCCAAUCGGUUAAGGGUCUUGGGAUAUUUGGGGUUAAGUGUCCUUGGGUUAGAAUAGUACUGGGCUGGGUGACCUCCCGGGAAGUCCAAACUCAGGAUCUUACAGGGAGGAGCACAUUUGUGAUGUUUGUAAAGUGUUGGAUCAGCUAUAUGACGUUAAUUUAAAGCUUAAGCAGUCGAAGUGCGUGUUUGGGUCCAAGAACACAACUUAUCUUGGGUACCGUAUUUCUCAUGAGGGUUUGCAAGUUGAUCCUGACAAACUUGUGGCUGUUUUAAAUUUCCCUACUCCAAAGUGUGAAUGAUGUGCAACACUUCUUGGGCAAAGUGCAGUAUUUUGGUCGUUUUGUGGAUUAUCUUUUUGAUUGCACUGCACCGUUGCAAGCAUUAUUGAAGUCAUCAACAUCAUCUUUCAUCUAGUCUCUAGAUUGUGAGUGGGCAUUCGUGUAUCUCAAAGAGCUAUUGAUGACUCAUUCAGUUUUGGCAUAUCCUAACUACAUUGGACCUUUUAUUUUGUAUAUGGAUGUUUUUUAUAUUGGUUUUGGAGAUGUGUUGAUGCAAGAGAGCCUGAGUGUGCCCGGUCAGUGACAUCCUAUUGUGUAUAUAAGUUGUACAUUACAACCAACAGAGGUGAACUAAUCCAUGAUAGAAAAGGAGUGUUUAGUAGUAGUCUGGGUUUCGAAAAACUUCAUACAUAUUUAUAUGGUUCUCAGACGUUACUUGAAGGUGACCAUACUGCCAUUACUUCAUUAUUGAAGCGAAAGAACCUGAUUGGUCAUAUUAUUCAGUCGGCUUUGAAGCUUAAGAUAUAUGAUUUUGAUGUUGUUCAUUGCCUAGGGAGUUCUAUGGUUGAUGCUAAUGCCCUUUUUCGAGCUCCUCUUCCUUCUCCACUCUCUUCUCAUGUUUUUGAUAAGCUUGUUAUUUCAACAUUUGUGAAUUUUCUAAAUGAGAAUUUUGUGCUAUCAGCAGUUGCUGUACUUGACAUUCAAUGUCCACAAGGUGCAAAACAAGAUCUACCUUCUUUUGAUGAGGUUUGUAAAGCUCAAAAUAUUAAGCUGUGGAUUCGAAGGCUUCGAGAUGGGUUUGAAAAUCUUGCAUCACUUGCUAAUGAUUUGCCAUUCCAACAUUUAGAUUCUCAAUAUCACCUUAAAGAAGGCUUUCUUUAUUUUGUGGGGAUAGAUGUUGAUGAUCCUUUAUGGCUGGUGGUGCCUUCCAUCUUUAUUCCACGGUUUCUCUAUGUUUACCAUAAUUCUCUUGUUCUAGGCGGGCAUAUAGGACAUCGUCAUAUGACCAAGAAGCUACAUAGGUUUUUGUAUUGGCCGGAGAUGCAACAUAAUGUUAUCCGGCAUGUGUGUAGUUGCGUUUGGUGCCAAGUUUGUAAUACUCCCCUUCGUGUUGCAGAAGGACAGUUGGAGUCAAUUGUAAUUUUUCAUUUGUUUGAGUUGGUGGUGUUUGAUCUUAUGGGACCUUUUCCACAAUCAAUUGCUAACAAUAAAUAUGUUAUUAUUGCUUUUGACUAUUUGACUCGUUAGGUGGAAGUUGAUGCUCUUGCUAGUGCCUCUGCAACUGCUAUUGGAUACUUCCUCCUCAAUCAAGUGGUAUUCUAGAAUUCUUGUCCAAAGCAGAUUCUUUCGGAUAAUGGUCCUGCAUUUAUAGCUGAGGCAUUUCAUGUUUUGAUGUCUUGGUUAGGGAUAUGCUACACUGUCACAAGUGUUUAUCAUCUACAAUCAGAUGAUUUGGUGGAACAGCUUGUUUGGACAUUCAAAGGGAUGAUUGUGAAGUAUGUGAACUUUCAGCAUUUAGAUUGGGAUGGUUAUUUGCCGUCUCUUCAGUAUGCAUAUAUCACAGGGUGCAAAGUUUUGUUGGUGCUUCACCAUAUAAACUCUUAUAUGGUCAUGAUCCAAUAUUACUAACGGAGCUGGGUUUACCUUUGCAAUUGCCACGAGCUGCCAAUGCUAGGUUGUGGGAUUAGUAUUUGAUGAGCAUUCUUCUACUUGUCCUAACAGAGUUUGUCGGACACUUAGGUUGCAUACAAGUAGAACAACAACAGUGUUACAACUCCCAUCAUUAUCCACCUGCCAAGUACAAAGUGGAUGACUUGGUGUUAAUCCAUUUUCUCCAUCUUAUGGUAUGUGGUUUAUCUAAGGGGCUCCUUGCUCAGUGGAAAGGACCAUAUCAGGUGUUGUGGCAAGUUGGACCGCAAGUUUAUGAGGUUUAGCAUGAUGUUUAGCAGGUUGAUCCUCUAAAAAUUAUGCAUGUACAGUAAUUGAAAUGCUUUAUACAAAGGGAUCAGGAACAAUUGAUACCUUUUAAAGAUCUACUGAUGCCUCCUCUUAAUGUUCCUUCAAAUCCAGGCCUAUCUAUAAGAGAACUCUAAUGGUCUUUCAUUAUUCUGAGAGGAGGGGAUGAUGUGAGGUCCAAGUGUAUAGCUACAAUACUGUAUACUAAUAUUAGUGUAGUGGGAUUUUGGUACCUGUUGGAUUGGUUUCAAUUUAGACCACUUACUCCUGUAUAUAAGUUAAAGUUUUUGGGUUAAUUAAUAUGCACAUUUUCUGUAUUCCCUUUCCAUAUUCUAUGCACUUACAAUAUUAAAUUCGAAUACAAUACCAAUAUCUAAUUCUUUUUUAAUGUCAUGAAACACCUCAUAUUUAAACAUUACAGGGUGAUGAAUCCAAAGCUUAACAUUUGGAUCUACCCCAAAAAGCAUACAAUUACAAAAUACAUGUACUUGCAAGGGAUGAAAGAGUCCUUGCAAGAGGAGUCCAUUUCCUUUAUCUUGAAACAUCUUUUUGGCUUUAGCAUGACUUGGACUGGAGUUUUGGGCUUUCUUAAGAGCUAGUACCCAUUUAUUUUGGUUGCUAGUUAGCAUUUGGAGGUGUUUAGCUGGAUAUUGGAGCAUCUCACAUUUCCAGUAUGGCAUUUUCUGUGAACUAGACAUUUCAUGCUGGUGUGGACUCAACAAGGAAGCAAUCUCCACCUUGUGAGUUUGAGUACCUUUCCUAGAGCAUGAGGGCACUUUUCAUGUCUGAGAAGAGAGUUAGAUUAUCAAAUGGCACAAAGGCACACUCAAAUAAUGAGGAUUCAAUGUCUUUAGAGGAUUCUAGGUUAGGGGAUUUGCAUAUGAUGGCUCAACAACCUCAAGUUCAUAUAGUCCAAAAGGGGAGUGAUUUGCCAACAUUUUUUGGCAUUGGUGGCAUCUCUCCUUCCAUCCAUAUUGAGCACUAUUGCUCAUCCAACACAUCCUCAAUGAUGAUUGGAUUUUCUCCAAUCGCUCAUCAGCAAAGUAGCAACAUAGGUACAGUCCCUCCUUGUAGUAGACAAGAUUGACUACCAGGUGCUACGAGAAUCCUUCAAGGACCAUUUCAUUGAGGAGAAGCCAUUGAAUUGUCUGCUCAUUGAUCUCUUUGCAUUUCGAGUUUCUUGAGUGCUCACUAAAGUGCUCACGAGUUGGUGCCAAACUACAUCACACAUUUGCGUUUCGAGUUUCUUGAGUGCUCACCAAAGUGCUCACGAGUUGGUGCCAAACUGCAUCACACAUUUUCACUCAUAUUGGAAGUGGUGUUGGGAUAGACAGGUUAUCACCCAGGAGCAGCAUGGGAUCACAGCCAUCAUCACCAGUCUUUAGGGAAACUUGCAACUAAAGUUCUUCAAGUGGCAAUUUGCUACAGGCCAUAUUGCAUUUGCAACAGCCACAAAGUUGGAGUGGGAACUUCUUGUGGACUUGGGCAUUUCACAUGUGGAGGAGGACUUGGCAUCACCCUCCCUUAAGUCCACAUAUUCCAUCAUCCACUCACAUAUUCUUGUGAUAGUGGUGGAGCGUAUUCCCUUAGCCAUCAAGAGUGCACUCACGGAGUUGUGACAAUAUAAAGAGAUCAUCUAGUAGUAGUAGCAAAUGCAAGAGAAAAUGCACAAAAUGCUCUAUGUUUGCCACUUACAACAAGCCAAGAAGCCACGAUGGGCUCCAUAAUCUUGGUAUUGCUCCUAUUGCAACAUCGUGACUCACAACACGAAGAGGUGUUAAGAGCUUCUUCCAGAGUUGUGGCCACCACACUCUUAGCAUGUUUAGGAGCAACCAUUCACUGAUAAUAGCACUGCAACACAAAGGAAAGAUUGCUACCAGCAAUAGCUUGAGCAGCAUGCAAUCAAGGAUGCACCUUCAUCAUUUUCCACUAAAGGGAAGGCUCCAAUGGAUAAGGUCAAUGCAAUCAAGAUUGUUGAGGAGGAGUUUGCAAGGACAACAGCCACAAGAGCACAAAAGAAGAAAGUUGCUCAAGAGGAAAUCAAUGAUGAUCCAGCUCCUUUAGUGAUCACUAAUUCAGUACAAAAAGUGGCAUGUAAGCUCCCAUUCACGUCUCUCCUUCCUGGAUGUCCUCUGCCUUUCUCUAAUAGUUCCUAGAUCCUUAAAAGUGUACUUCAACAAUCCUGAAGAUGUUCAUGAACCAUACUAUUGUCAUUUGUCACAACAUUCGAGUUUACGUUAAUGGGGUGGAGUCUCUUCUGGAUUUUGUGGUGGUGGACCACUAGAUGUUCAGUUCCACACCUUUGAAAGAUUUCUUAAUUGAAUGAGUUUGGCAAGAUCAGAUUAAAGGCAUCACCAACUAGUCACUCUACAUGAUAGAGAUUAGCGACAAUCAUCAGAAUUCUUAUCUCUACAAUGCCCACAGACACUCUCUAUUGGGAACGCUUUAAGGACAGCCUCUAGGCCUGUCUCAAAGCCAGUCAAUAUCUUUCAAGCCAUAUUCUCUUCCUCAACACGCUUUCCCCACUCGUUGAUGGUCAUCUUUCCUAAGUUGAUUGAAGAUCCAUCACAGCCCGAGUUUAACGUGUUCUAAUGCAACACUAUCAUCAUAGAGGCUUCCCCAAUCAUCACAACAAACACUCAAUUUUAUUGGAGUGAUGGGCAGCUUCAAGAGUUUCAAGUGGAGGCUCUUCCAAUGACAUCACUUCUUUUCGAGUGUGAACUUUAUGUGGAGAAUUUUCCCUUAGUUGCAGCUUAGUCUUAGAGACUUCAGUAUGGUACUUCAAUGAAGCAUGCACCUCCUAUGGUGUUUGCCACCUUUGAAAUAGGAAUGACAAUCGCAAGCAAGAGCAGCUUGGCCUCUUUAUUUGAGGACUGGGUGGUGAGUGACCAUGUGGUCAGUCCAGCCUCUUUAUUUGAGGACUAGACUACUCUUACUUUCACAGAUUUCUAGGUACCAUCACUUGUGCUAUCUUUACACCAUGUUGCAAACUUCUAGCUUUCUAACACAAAAAAACUUCAUGCUCAUGACAUAGAGAUCCUUGCCCUUGGUGAGCAGCACAAGGCAUCAGUUGAGAAACUUCUUGUUCCAAAGCACAAGUUUAAGGUGGCCAUUGACUCCAAAAUUCCUGAUUCAAUCCUUUUUUAUCUUGGGCAUCUUAUUCUUCUCAUGGAGUUCACUCCCUCCUCCAAGUUCUCUCCACAAUGGCUCGGUCCCUCCUUCAUCCAGCGCCAGGUGGAGGGUGGUUCUUAUGUGCUCGCAAAUGAGAUUGGCCAUGUGCUUUCAUAUGCUCACAAUCAUUGCCACCUCAAAGCAUUCAUGCAAUGAUUUCUUUCCUUUUUCUUUCUUUUUGUUUUUUUUUUCCUUUUCUCCACAUUCUUUCACCUCUCCCCUUUUAUUUUUAGGCUUUGCUACCUUAGGCCGUGGUUCCAGCUUAGAUUUUAGCCACAAGGUUGUAUUAAUUCCUUUUGUGUGUCAGCUCUUAUAGUUUCUUAGUGAGUCCUCAACUGUUUUUAGGAUCCAUCACCUUCACUUCAUCCCACCAUUCAUCACACAAAAUCACACAACAUUCUCUCUACUCAUUCUUUGCAACCGAUACUCGCAUUGGGAUCUUAGCAAUUUCAUCCACUUUCUAUCUAUGGUACUUGAUAUGCAUUUACAUCACUCCAAUACAACUAUAAAUAUCUUUUGAUAGUAGCAAAAAUUUUCCAAAUUUAAUAUGUCAUGUACAAGUUAUAGCUACAACUUUAUAUCAUUGCAACGUAUUAGCACAUGUGGAGCUGUUUUUCUUUAAGCUAGCAUCAUCCAACACAUGAAGAGUGCCCAAGCCAUUUUCUUAAGCAAGUUGUUAACUACCAACACUUAGGGCAAUUGGAAAAAGUUUGAGUUUGUGAUGGAGGCUUUGAGAGCUAGAGUUAGAAAUGUUAGAAGAUAGCCCUCAUCUCCUAAUAGUGAGUGUUACAAAAUAAAAUAAAGAUUAAAGGCAUGACUAGCCAAAAAUAUGUAAAUGACUAAAUUUUCUAUUCUACUUUAGUCACUUAACUACAUUUUUAACCAUUUAAAGGAAAAUCACUCAGAGCCUCCAUAAGUCUUAUUCCGGACUUAAGGGCAUGCUACCCUCGUAAAUAACAUCUAUGCCAUUUAGCUUUUACACUUAGUCCAAGUGUUCCACAUGUUUAAUCUUAUAAUAGACACCCCAAAUGUAUUAUAAACCUAUCAACCCAUUAUACUAAGACUAUAUCUAUAUACUCUUAUCUUAUUGGUAGUCCAAGACCACAUAUGGCAUAGUCCCGUCUCUCAAAGAUUGGGCCAUCUGUCCAUAAGUGGUCAUUACAAGACCACACCUUAAUAUCCUUAGGAAGCUCGAAGAUAUAGAGAACACCCUUCCCCAAUAUCCCUUCAUUAGUCCUCAUAAAGUCCUUCUUCAUCCACAGCCAUGCUCACUAACACUGCCAUUGAGUUAGGACUAUGCCCCUUAGAGGAUGGACAAGGCAUGGUGAGCCUUCAGGGUCAAACCAUAGACAAAUAUUGGCUGCGUGCCAAGGAUGGAAAUGGUAAUACUUGCGGGUGUUACUUUAUAAAAGGGUUUACCUUUCGAUGAGGACAUCGAACUUCGUCUAUGGGUGGUGGAGUUGUGAGACACAAAAUCCCUAGGCCCCAAAGUGGAGCCAGAAGGGUGCCACAUGGUAGUGGCCGAAGUGAAAGCCAAACGAGCGUAACACGUUUGGACCAAAAGCUCCAACUUGAAAAGUUGAGAGCGGGAGUGAAACUCCCAACAAAGUGCUUGAGGAACGAGCACGAAGCGAGCAAUAAGCGAGGCUCCAAAAAAGGGACCCAAAAGGACCAACACAUGACACGUGGAAGGAGUCCGAGAUGGAAUCUGAGAUGGAGUCCGAGAAGGACCUGAGAUGGAGACCGAGAUGGACCCGAGAUGGAGUUCGAGAUGGAGUCCGAGAUGGACCGAGACGGAGUCCGAGAAUGGAGUCCGAGAUGGAGUCCGAGAUGGACCGAGACAGAGUCUGAGAAUGGAGUCCGAGAUGGACCCGAGAUGGACCUGAGAUGGAGUCCGAGAAGGACCUGAGAUGGAGUCCGAGGUCGAGACCGAGACCGGGACGGAGACCGAGACCGAGACUGGGACCGGGACUGAGACUGAGACCAAGACUGGGACUGAGACCGAGACCGAGGCCGAGGCCGAGACCGAGACAGAGCCCGAGUCUGAGUCCGAGUCCGAGUCCGAGUCCGAGUCCGAGUCCGAGUACGAGUCCCAGUCCAAGUCCGAGUCCGUGUCCGAGUCCGAGGCUGAGUCUGAGAGGGUGAAAGCCCAAAGCAUUCAUCUCCCAGACCCUGGGGGGUUUGGUGAGCUCCAAAAGUAUAGUGAGGGGGAGGACUGUAGUGGAGCCAGUUUGGCCAUGAAAGGCCAGUUUGGCCCAGGAAGGCCAGACCCAGUGUUGGGUGAUGAACUGACCACUGGGAAGUCCAAGACUAGAGUGAAUACUGACUGACAAGCGGGGUAGCUUGGUGAAGUAUUCAAGAGCCGGCUCUAGUUCCCCCGGGAGAUCGACUGGCCGAUGCUCCCAGUCCACGUGUGGGUGGCACUACCUACUUGGAUACCAGGCGUGGCUCAAUGGAACCUCGCUCUAAGCCCAUGGCUAGAGCACAUAAAGGCAGAAGGUGGGGAGAGUACCCAUGGGGCUCGCGUAGGCCCACGGUAUUCCGAAAUGUUGUCCCGGAGUCCCAAAUGGGGGAAAGGAGGAAGAGCAGUCCUCUAGUGUAGUAACUAAGGAUACAAUCACAUGGUGAGGAAGUCCCAGAGGACCAUGGGACUUAGUGGUCGGGCCUGUGGGCCUUGAUUUAGUGGCAGUGUCGGUGAACAUGGCCAUGGACAGAAAAGGGACUUGGUAGGAACUAACAAAGGGAUAUUGGGGAAGGCUAUUCCCCAUGUCUGUAGGCAUCCCAAGGAUGCUAAGGAGUGGAUUUGGGUUGACCACUCGUGGAUGGAUGGCCCAGUCUUGGAGAGAUGGGAUUGUGAUGCAAGUGGUAUUGGACCCCUAGUGUAGCAAAGGUGAAUGGGCAUGGCCUUAGCGUAAUGGGCCGAUAUGUCAGUGGUACCUUUGGAUGUCGGUCUUGGGACCAGACACAUGGAGCACUUGGACUAAGUGCAAGGGAUGAGUGGCAUGGAUGCCACCCUCGGGGUUAGCAAGUCCCCAGUCCUGAAUUGGACUUAAGGAGGUUGUGAAUGAGACUCCUCCAAGUGGUCAAAGGUGUGGUUAAGUGACUAAAGUAGAAUGGAAAAUUUAGUCGCUUACAAUGAUAAGUGUCAUGAUAUAAGGAAUUGUCAAGAUUAAAUCCGAGAUGGAGUUUGAAAAGAAGUCUAAGAUGGAGUCUAACAUGGAGGCCGAGAAGGAGUAUGAGAUAGAGCCCGAGAUAAAGUCCAAGAUGGAGUCCGAGAAGGAGUCCGAGAUGGAAUCUGAAAUAGAGUCUGAGAAGGAGUCCGAAAAGGAGUUUGAGAUGGGGACCAAGAUUGGGAUUGAGAUCAAGAUUGAGACCAAGACCAAGAUUGAAUUCAAGACCGAAUCCAAAUCUGAGUUUGAGUGCACAGGUCACAACCCAAAGCAAUCAUCUCCAGACCUUGGGUGGUUUGGUGAGCUCCAAAAGUAUAAUAAGGGGAGGACUUCAGUAUAGCAAGUUUAGCCAAAAAAAGCCAGGGUGACCAAGGAAGGUAAUACCUAUGUGGUGGGUGAUAAUAUAACCACUGAGGAAUCCAAAGCUAGAGCGAACAUAGAUGAAUAAUUGAGGUAAUUUGGUGAAGUGUUCAAGAGUCCAACUCUAUCUCCCCUGAAAGAUCAAAUGGUCAAUACUCUUAAUCCAAGUGUGGGUGGCACUAUCUACUUGGAUACUUGGUGUGGCUCAUUAGAACCUCACUCUAGCUACAUGGCUAGGACACCUAAGAGCAAAAGGUGGGGAGAUUACCCACGAGGCUUGUGUAUGGCCACAAUGUUUCGAAAUGUUAUCCUAAAGUCCUAAAUUGUGAAAGGAAGAGGAAUAAUCCUCCUGCAUAGUGACCAAAUGCAUGGUCACAUGGUGAGGAAGUCCCAAGGGUUAUUGGAACUUAGUGGUCAUGCUCUUAAGCCUCUCCAACAUAGAGACUCACUCGACCACUUGGGGUGGUUUGCUCCCUUUUACUGGUUCAAUUCUCACUAAACCCGUUAAAGACACCCUCUCUAACUCAAUUCCACUACUCAUUCUCGAGUAGUCUCAGAUUCCAUUGACAUAACCUUUGCACUUUGGAACUUUUAAUUUUGACUUCUCCGAGUCAAUUUCCUAGGUGUCUCCGACACCUUACGUUGCACAUGGUGCAACUCCACUAUCCUAGGAAGUUCUUUACUUGAGGGUACCAUCAUCCUCUCUUUGAUAUCGUGCCACCUUUGGGCACUAAGUUCCAGUUAUCAUAAUUGGUGCUAGGGUUGCCUAUAGCCCUAUUAUUUGGCUACCUUACCGCUCCCCCCUUUGGAGCAUUCACUUUCGCCAAAUCAGAGUAGUUGGGAAUCCAUCCUUAGGGAAACAUUGCCUUUCCCACAAUCCAUUAGCACCCAACACAUUAGUGUUCUCGGCCUAACCUUGCCAUUUGGAUUCUUUCCCAUGAUUCCCAUAGCUCUUUUCUUAGCCACUAGUCUUUUGUUCCUAUCCUUGAUUGUUGCACCCAGCAACAUAGGAUCACUACCUCCAUUUUUGAGGUUUUCUUUCGGUUCCAUAGCAAACAUUUUGCAUUGCCAAGUCCAGAGGGUGUUCACCCCUAGUAUGUCUCUUUAACAUUUUCUGUCGUGGGCCCUAUCCAUAGCCCAACUUUUUGAGACCCUCCCUUGGAUCUCUUAUAGAGACUACUUUCCUUGGACUUAUUAUGCCAUAGCAUUGACAUAGCUCAUUUUUCUUAGAUAUUCUUCCCACUUGGUCACUUUGACCAAGCCACACCAUUAUCAAUAGUUCAAAUCAACACUUUGAACUAGGAAUCAUAUUCCUUAACCCAAACAAAGAUUUUGUCCUUGUUUAGCCACAAGAUCACCUAGUGAUCUCAUAAUAGGUCUAUCAAUAGGAACUAGGUCUUCCAAACCCUUCUAAGUUGUUGACUAUGACCCCGGGGGCAUCCCCCACAUUUGUUGGUGUGCCUAAGCCAGCCCUUCCGGCCAAGGAUCCAUAGCAACUGAGACUUGGGUGUCCCCAUCUCAUUCAUCACGUCCUUGGUGCCCUUUGCACCAAAGUGUUCAAGUUAAAUAUGCCGAGCUUUCACUCUAAGCAAUCUAAUCGUGCAUCAUGACUUCGAGGCAUCCCUCGUUUUGCAGUGUGCCCAAACUAGUCUCCUCACUGAGAGUCCAUGACCACCGAAAUAUGAGUGUCCUCAUAUUCCAAUCCAUCACCACGCCCUAGUGAUUUGGGACUCGAACCCAAGCACUAGAGGGUCGGGACUCGAACCCAACCUCCGUAUAUGCAUCUACGGACGGCAUCACCCUAGAUGCUUGGCGUGACUCCCCACGCCGGUGCACCAACUUAUACUUAAAGCGCGCUAUAGAUCACAACUUAAGAACCUAAUUCCUCCACACUACCAAAUCCUUUCACUUGACACAUCUGUGAUCAUGCAUGGACUCCUCCACACUUGGCCCCAUGGCCCCUCUUUAUGAAGUUAUCACCUUCAACUAGGCUAUUUGUUCCCCCGACUUGCCAAUCUCGCUUGGCAAGUCUUCCGACCACCGUAACAUGGUUCAUGCAUAAGCAUGAAAGUCCUUGACCAUUGACUUUCGUUCAAAGCCCUUUCUUUGAACACUCGGGAAUUACUUCCCUAACCUUGAUAGCCUUGCCUCCUGGCAAGCUUCAAGACCACACUUCUGCUGCACCACUCUGAUUUCGCGCGUUCCAUGAAUCAUUUACACUUUGGCCUUUCUAGGUACUAAGCUACCUAGAAUCGUCUUUGGGAACCUUGAAGAGACUCUAUCCCUUAGCUUGCCUAGGCCUCCUUUUUCGCAAGCUUUCUAGUUGCCAUAUAGUCUAACAUGGACAAUUCCAUAUUUUAGACUCUCCAUGGCAUCAAGGUUGCUAGCAACAACAUCCUCGAGCCCCCACUUGAUUCUCCACUCCUAGCUGGCAUAACCAACCUUGGUCAUGCCUUUCGAUUCCUACGGUUCGGUUCUAUCUCCUUAUUACUUGCUUUUGGCUUCACACCUUUCCUUCAGUCAUUCUCCUCAAGACUAGGAGGAUAGCUUUGCACUUUCUAUCAUGCCUUAGCAAGUAUUCUUAGGGAUGAACCUACCUGAUAGCCUAGGGAGUGGUUCCUUAAUCCAGGUAUGCUCACCUUAUAAUCCCAUAUACCGGGAUUAACGUUGCUGCUCAUGGGCCUUCACUAGCCUUGCCAAAAUUUCAUUUUUGGCUUUGUCCAAUUUGGGUAGAUAGUCUUCUCUCGUCUCUGCAACCUUGGACAUUUGGAUAGCACCUUCUAUCCAUCAUUCGCUAGGGACUUAGUCCCUUGGGCCUUAUCUAUUGCCCUCGUGACACUAAACACCACUUCCUGGUGUUCCAGAGUGUUUGGGUGUCCCAAUGAUGGUCUCCUUGACAAUGAGCAUUUCCUUUUACGACAUUAACUCACUAUAUCGCAACAUAAGCAAUUUAUCCCCUGUAAGGGUAUAUCUAACUUCCUUAUGCCAUUAAGAAGUCUUGGGUAGUUACCUUCUACCUGUUUAACCAAUUAUCCUUGCACCUUUUGCUUAGUUGCCCCAUAGUUGUCAAGUCCUACAACUCAUUGCUUGGUGCUUCCACACCUCCAUCAUUAUCUGGGUCAGCACACUCCAAUGGCAUGCCUUCCAACUUAGGCCAUACCAUUCCCGCUUCCGUUGGGAUUCCCUUGGCAAGGGGUUCUUAUGAACCCACCAUCAUAACCUCAAGGUAUCACACUUUGGCACAUUUGGUGUCUCCACACCAUCGGCCCCACGAGCCUACCCUUAUGACACUACUUAUUAGUGUCUAGGUCUUUGCCAAGACUAAUAUAGUUGUUCCUCAUGGUAACUAUCCGUUAGCACUGCACCAUAGUGUUUGCACCUAACUUUAGGCCAAAGUUGCUUUCCUCUGGGAACAUCUUUCCCACAACUUUAGUAUGGCACAUUCUGCCAUCAAUGAGAUACCUACUGUUCUCAUACUUGGAUCUUAUGAUCCUCCCCAUACCUCAUAGGGCACCAUAUACCUCAGUCCAAAUGUUUCAACCAAUCUCUUAGGACCAUUCCCUGACUCCACUUGAGUUAUCUAGCAUUUUGGACUUUGCUAAUCCAACAACCUGCGAGGUCUUAGUCUUAGAGGUGCCAACUCAUUAGAAUACAACUUCUUGUAUUCAUGUCCUACUCACAAGGACAAUCUUUGCAAGUGUUACUCUGACACUUGAUGAUUUUCUUGGGGCUAACCUUUGCCCCUUAGGACUAUUUGUCCAUAUGAUGAGAAUAACAACUCAUCUUUAAGUACACCCCCAACUCCUUGGGUUGUUCCAGCAUUUAUUAGAGGUAGUCCCGACUACCAUUUCAAGGACUCAUGUCCUCAUCCGUAUUUGACCUUUCACGAUCAUUAAUUUUGGUCUUAAUUUCAUGAGGACCAGCCUCACUAUAUGAGGUUAAUCUUGUGACUCCUUUAUUGUUUUUGGAGUCUGCAUUUUUCCUGUGAUCCCAACUAUAGUUGUUUACCACAACUAUAUUAGCUCGUUUGUUGCAUCAAACGCUCAUCUGGAUCACAUCCUCAGCUCUCUGAGGAAACCAUUAUACUAUUCCCAAGAUCCCAAAGUCGUUCCCUUACUGGCCCUUUUCCAUCCACCAUAUCAUGCACAAGUUCACGCAUGAACUUGAGUGGAGAGCCAUGUCCUCUUGACAUGCUACUCCUCGAGGAUAGGUCCAUAUCUAGGACCUUCCAAUUCCAAUAUAAGUGGUGGUAUACUUGGCCACCAAUAAGAGUCGGACUAAGGAAUAGCUCUGAUACCAAGUUGUAAGUGACUAAAUUUUCCAUUCUACUUUAGUCACUUAACCACACCUUUGACCACUUGGAGGAGUCUCAUUCACAACCUCCUUAAGUCCAAUUCAGGAUUGGGGACUUGCUAGCCCUGAGGGUGGCAUCCAUGCAACUCAUCCCUUGCACUUACUCCAAGUGCUCCACGUGUCCGGUCCCAAGACUGACAUCCAAAAGUACCACUGACAUAUCGGCCCGUUACGCUAAGGCCAUGCCCAUUCACCUUUGCCACACUAGGGGUCCAAUACCACUUGCAUCACAAUCCCAUCUCUCCAAGACUGGGCCAUCCAUCCACGAGUGGUCAACCUAGAUCCACUCCUUAGCAUCCUUGGGAUGUUUACAGACAUGGGGAAUAGCCUUCCCCAAUAUCCCUUUGUUAGUUCCUACCAAGUCCCUUUUCUGUCCAUGGCCAUGUUCACCGACACUGCCACUAAAUCAAGGCCCACAGGCCCGACCACUAAGUCCCAUGGUCCUCUGGGACUUCCUCACCAUGUGAUUGUAUCCUUAGUCACUACACUAGAGGACUGCUCUUCCUCCUUUCCCCCAUUUGGGACUCCGGGACAACAUUUCGGAAUACCGUGGGCCUACGCGAGCCCCAUGGGUACUCUCCCCACCUUCUGCCUUUAUGUGCUCUAGCCAUGGGCUUAGAGCGAGGUUCCAUUGAGCCACGCCUGGUAUCCAAGUAGGUAGUGCCACCCACACGUGGACUGGGAGCAUCGGCCAGUCGAUCUCCCGGGGGAACUAGAGCCGGCUCUUGAAUACUUCACCAAGCUACCCCGCUUGUCAGUCCGUAUUCACUCUAGUCUUGGACUUCUCAGUGGUCAGUUCAUCACCCAACACUGGGUCUGGCCUUCCUGGGCCAAACUGGCCUUUCCUGGCCAAACUGGCUCCACUACAGUCCUCCCCCUCACUAUACUUUUGGAGCUCACCAAACCCCCUAGGGUCUGGGAGACGAAUGCUUUGGGCUUUCACCCUCUCAGACUCGGACUCAGACUCAGACUCGGACACGGACUCGGACUCGGGCUGGGACUCGGACUCGGACUCGGACUCGGACUCGGGCUCGGGCUCGGUCUCGGUCUCGGUCCCAGUCUCGGUCUCGGUCUCGGUCCCGGUCUCGGUCUCGGUCUCCAUCCCGGUCUCGGUGUCGACCUCGGACUCCAUUUCAGGUCCUUCUCGGACUCCAUCUCGGAUUCCAUCUCGGGUCCAUCUUGGACUCCAUUCUCGGACUCCGUCUCGGUCCAUCUCGGACUCCAUCUCGAACUCCAUCUCGGGUCCAUCUCGGACUCCAUCUCGAACUCCAUCUCGGGUCCAUCUCGGACUCCAUCUCAGGUCCUUUUCGGACUCCAUCUCGGAUUCCAUCUCGGGUCCAUCUCGGACUCCAUUCUCGGACUUCGUCUCGGUCCAUCUCGGACUCCAUCUCGGACUCCAUUCUCAGACUCUGUCUCGGUCCUUCUUGGACUCCAUCUCGAACUCCAUCUCGGGUCCAUCUCGGACUCCAUCUCAGGUCCUUUUCGGACUCCCUCUUGGACUCCAUCUCGGGUCCAUCUCGGACUCCUUCCAUGUGUCAUGUGUUGGUCCUUUUGGGUCCCUUUUUUGGAGCCUCGCUUAUUGCUCACUUCAUGCUCGUUCCUCGAGCACUUUGUUGGGAGUUCCACUCCUGCUCUCAACUUUUCAAGUUGGAGCUUUUGGUCCAAACGUGUUACGCUCGUUUGGCUUUUGCUUCGGCCACUACCACGUGGCACCCUUCCGGCUCCACUUUGGGGCCUAGGGAUUUUGUGUCUCACACAUAUGUCAAUCCCUCUUGUGUCCUUUUCUAGAGACUCAUUCAUUGAUUGUUUUGUACUCGUUCCUUGAGCACUUCUUUAGGAGUUCCACUCCCACUUUUAACUUUCCAAGUUAGAGCUUUUGGUCCAAACAUAUUAUGCUUGUUGGACUUCUGCUUCAACCACUGUCAUGUGGCACUCUUUCGGCUCCAGUUUGGGCCAUAAGGAUUUGUGUCUCAUAACUCCAUCACCCAUAAACAAAAUUUGAUGUCCUCAUCAAAUGUUUAAUCAUUUUAUAAAGUAACCCCUAUCAUGGAUUACCAUUUUCAUCUUUAGCACAAAAUUAAUAUUUGUCAAUGGUUCAAUAUUGAAGGUUCACUAUGCCUUGCCCAUCCUCUAAGAAGCAUAGUCUUCCAAUUUAGAGUCUCAUUAGAUCACUAGCAGUAGUUCUCUACCUUUGUUCAUUUAGUUUUUGCUAAACCCGUUAAAAACACUUUCAUUAUUCAAUAUUAUUAUUUAUUCUAGAGUAGUCUUAGCCUCUACCAACAUAACAAUCACAUUCUAAAAUUUUAUAAUUGACAUCUCAAAUUAAUUUCCUAAGUGUGUUUGACACCUUGUAUUGCAUUAAUUAUGCAAAUACCACUUCUCCAUCCUAGGAGGUUUUUUACUAGAGGGCAUCAUUAUCCUCUUUUUUAUUUUAUGCCAUCCUUAGCACUAAAUUCCAUUUAUCCAUAAUUUGUGUUAGAGCUAUCCAGCCCUAUCAUUUGGCUAUUUAUGGUUCAGCAGUAUAAAAAAAGGGUCGCACUCCCGUAACCCUUAAAUUGGAGCAUUUGGGAAUCCUAUUCUUGGAAAUAAAUUUCCCUUCCCACAAUCCGUUAGUACCCACCACAUGGUGAUUCCUUGCCUAACUCAUUAUUUAGAUUUUUGUAAGAAUUUCUAAUGUCCAUUCUCGGCCACUAAUCUUUUGCUUAUAUCCUUUGAUUGUUGCACUAAGAAAUAUAGGAUUACUACCUCCAAUCUUGAGGAAUCCUUUCGAUUCUAUAGUAAAGGUUUUGCUUUGCUAAACCCUUAGUAAGUCUUUUUAGCAUUUUCUACUAUGGGUUUUAUCCACAGCCCUCUAUGACCCUCCUAUGGGUCUUUCUUUUGAAACUACUUUAUUGAACUCACAAUACCAUUAUAUAGUCACAACUCACUUCCCCUAGGUGUUUUUCCCUUUUGGUCACCUUGACCAAUUCAUAUAUUACUAAUAGUUCAAAUCAACACCUUGAAUUAACAACCUUAUUUUCUUAACCUAACAAGAAUUUUGUCUUUGUUUAGCUAUAAGCUCACUUAGUGAUCUCACCUUGACACUUUAUUAGGUUUGUGAAUAUGUAUUAUAUCUUUCAAACCUUUAAGUUGUUGACCAUGACCCCAAGGGCAUCCCCCACACUUGGCAAUGCACCCAAGCUAGCCCUUCUAGCCAAGAGUUCAUAACAAUUGAGAUUGAGUGUCCCCAUUUCAUUCACCACAUCCUUGGUGCCACUUACACUAGAGUGUUCAAGUUAAAUAUAUCGAGCUUUCAUACUAAACAAUCUAACUGUGCAUCGUGAUCUAGAGCAUCCCCCGCUUAGUGGUGUGCCCAAGCCAGCCUCCUUUCUAAGAGUUCAUAACCACCGAAAAAUGAAUGUCUUGAUAUUUUAAUCAUCACCACGCCCUAAUGAGCUGGGACUUGAAUCCAAGCACUAGAGGGUUGGGAUCAAACCUAACUUUUAUAUAUGCAUUUAUAGACAGCAUCACCUAAGCUACCUGGAGUGACUCUCUAUGUCGGUGCACUAAUUUAUACCCAAAGUGCGUUACAGAUCACAACUUAGGAACCUAGUUCCUCAAAGCUUCUAAGUUUUCUCACUUGAUAAGCUAGUUAAUUAGCAUAUGAUUAUGUAUGGACUCCUUUAUGGUUGGCCUCAUGGGAUACUCCUUUUGAAGUCAACCCCUUCAACUAGGAUCUUUGUUCCUUUGACUUGCCAUUUUUGCUUAGUAAGUCAUAUGAAUUUUUUUAAACACCUAGGAAUUACUUCCCCAACCUUGAUAGCCUCACCUUAUAGCAAGUUUCAAGGUUAUACUCUGUUACACUAUUUUGAUUUUGCGCAUUUUUAUGAACUAUUUGCACUUGUCUUUCUAGGUGCUAACCUACCCAGACAAGUUUUUGGGAACAUUGAAGAGACUCUAUCCUUUAGCUUGCCAAAACUUCUCAUUUUGCAAGCUUCUUAAUUGUUAUAUAUUCUAACAUAGGCAAUUCCAUACUUUAGACUCACAAUGGCAUUAUAGUUGCCAGUAGCAACACUUUCGAACAUUUGCUUGAUUCCACACUCCCAACUUGCAUAACCAUCUUUAGUUAUGCUUUUCAAUUCUUAUGGUUUAGUCUUAUCUCUUUACUACCUACUUUUGGCCUUCUACGUUCUCUUUGGUUAUUCCCCUUUUGACUGGGAAGUUACCUUUGCACUUUUUACUAUGCCUUAGCAAGUAUUCUUAGGGAUGAACCUACUCACUGAUUUAGAGAGUGAUUCUUCAAUUUGGAAAUAUUCACUUUAUAAUUUUAUACAUCAAGAUUAAUAUCGUUUAGGGGCCCAAGGCCCUAAAACUUAGGUUCCACUCUUCUACUUUUGACUUACAUGUUCGAGGGUUACCCACUCUAUGGUUAUCUUAUUUUAAAUUAUCAUAAGGUAAAAGGUAAAAACCAUAUAUGCUACAUUUAAACUCCAUUUCAAACUCCAUCUUAGAUUUGGUCUAAAAUUCAAUCUCAGUCUUAGUCUUGGUCUCAAUCUCAACACUUGCCAUGUGUUUGUUCUUCUUUUAUCCCUUUGUAAAAAGACUUGCUUACCAAUCACUUUGAGCUUGUUCUUUAAGCUCUUCUUUAGGAGUUCCUCUCCCACUCUUGAUUUUGUAAGUUAGAGCUUUUAGUCUAAAUGUGUUACCCUUAUUAGACUUUCACUUUGGCAACUACUAUAUAGCAUGUAUUUAGAUCUAUUUUAUGACUUAGGGAUUUGUGUAAUACACUUAAGCACUUCUUUAGGAGUUUCAUUCCCACUCUCAACUUUUUAAGUCAGACUUUUUAGUUUGUUUAUUGGACUUCUGUUUAAGUGACUACUAAGUGUAUUGUGGCCAGCACUUCAUCAAAAUCUUUGUAAGCUUAUGAAUUUAGACUUCCUGAGAGGUCACCCAACCCAGUACUAUUCAAACCCAAAGACGUUUAACCCCAAAUAUCUUAAGACCAUUAAUCAAUUGGAAAAAAGGAUGCACUUUUAUUCAUGGACCCUUUUCCUUCAUAUUUGAACCCUAUUAUUUCUUAAAUCGUUAUUUUUGGUUGCUUACAAUCCACCAUGCUUUCCUACAAGUUCACGCCCUCGUGAACCGAAGCUGAGCCACAACUCUUCUGAGAGCCCCGCUCUCUUAACACCCUACCCCUUGGGUCAAGUUCAACCGGGAGUAAACUAGACUUACCAGAUAUCAAUCUCAAUAUAUGAUAUGAUUCCUUUAGCUAACUAAUAGAAUUGAACCCAAAACCCCUUUGAUACCAGAUAUAAGCUCUUGAAUUUAGACUUCCUGAUAGAUCACCCAACCUAAUACUAUUCAAACCCAAAGAUAUUUAACCCCAAAUAUCCUGACCUUUAACCAAUUGGAAAAAGGGAUGCACUCUUAUUUAUGGGCCUUUUCCCUUUAUAUUUGAAUUCUAUGGAUGGUCUCUUAAGUUAUUUUCUUUGGUUGUUUACAAUUUUGUGGCCUUGUGCAUACACUAGCUACCUUUGACAAUACACUUUAAUUGACAUAAUAUUAUGAGACAUCACUAUAAAACACCAAUUUGUAAAUUUCAAAGUGGAGCCAAAGAUGAACUACCCAACUUGAUCUACUCCAACAUAUUUGUCUCUAUACAAACUAAGAAACUCUAAAAGCAAACAUCAAAUUAAAUAAUUAACUUAGACAACCCCUAAUGGAAACAAUGCAAUUAUGGCAUCAUCACAAUUAUUAGCAUGUCCAAAUAAACAUUUGAAGACAUUUGAGAAAAGGCUCUAAUGUAUACAAGUGGCUAUGCUCAAACAAUUAUACCACUGCAAUAUUGUCCCUUGCAAACAUGUAGAGAACUCACAUAGAUAUUAAGCAUCAUCCCAAAAAUGAUAGGUGGCAAUCAUUGUAAAAUGAUCAAACUAAUGAUACAUAUCAUCCCUAGAAUUUCCACAAAAGAAAUUUAGCCAAAUGCAAGGAUUUGUAGUAAAAUCAAGAGGAGUUACACCAUAUGCUGUGAACGCCAUUAUCAAUUGAGUAUGAUUAAUCAAUUGUAGCUGUAUAACAUUGAGCAAUUGCACUAAUUGCCACUUUUGAGUCAAAGGAGGAGUAUAUUAUUCUGUCAUAAAAAUGAACAAAAGGAAAAUUGAAAAAAUAAAAAUGAAAAAAAAUAUUAUAGGAACAAAAAAGAUCUAAACACCUCAACUAAUAUGAGUGAAUAUAAUAUAGAAAUAUGCAUAUUUAAUUAGCCCAAAAAAACAGUUUAUAUAAAAGCAAGUGGUCUAGAUUGAAACUUAUAUAAGUAUUGUAACAGUACACCUAUCUUAUAGUUUAAUUUUAAGGAAAUAACAAAUACUUUAAGAGAAUCUACUUAAUCUCUAUACUGGUUUAUAAAGUAAAUAAAUGAAUAGGUUUUAAAGUAUUUCUUUCAUGUGUUGAGUGAUAUGAUCCCCUAUCAUAUAUGUGAUGAUAGGAGAUUGGCAAUUCUCUGCUGUCCUGCUUGUACUGUAGGAUGCAGUGAUGAACUGAAGAAAAGGAAAGAAAGGUAAGAUUUUCUUUCAUUUCAUUCAUUAGAACUCUUGAUUCUCUUGUCUUUCAAUAAAACUUUGCAUAAAAAACUCUACUCUAAACUUUAUAUGAAAACAAACACAUGAGUUACUACAUUGUAAGGAAAUGAGUGGAACUUAAGGUCAUGUCUUUAUUAUGUUAAAUUGUUUAUGAACUUAUAUCAAUAAUCAUGGUGUAGGAGCUGGGCCUGGUGCUGAUGCUGGUGAUUCUGGUGGUGGUGUUGGUGAAAGUGAAGGUGCUGGUGUUGGUGAUGGUGGUGGCGGUGGCGGUGGUGGGGGAGGUUGUGUUCUUGGUGGUGGUGGAGGAGGUGUUCUUGGUGGUGGUGGCGGAGGUUUUCUUGGAGGUGGUGGUGGACGAGUUCUUGGAGGUGGGGGAGGAGGGGUUCUUGGCGGUGGUGGUGGUGGUGUUCUCGGUGGUGGUGGUGGAGGAGUUCUAGGUGGUGGUGGUGGAGGAGUUCUAGGUGGGGGUGGGGGUGGUCUUCUAGGGGGUGGUGGUGGUGGUUUUCUAGGUGGUGGUGGUGAAGCUUUUGGUGGUGGUGGUGGUGGAGGUGGAGAAUUUGGUGGUGGUGGAGGUGAACAAGCAUUUGGAGUAAAAUAAUAGGGUCCACAAGUGAACUUAUUAUUUCCAUUAUUGGUGCAUGUGCUUAAAGAUUGGCCACUUGAUCCACCAUUUAUGUCUGUUAAGAAAGAACACCCUCGGGGUGCUCUACUUGUAUCCACACUCACUCGACAACUCCCAAUAUCUGUUCCAGUUUUCACUAAUUCAAAGAUAUUAAAGUAUCCUUUACUAUUUGUAAAUGAUGAAUCACUGUCUCCUGGACAAACCAGGUUUACCUUGGCAUCUGAAAGAUUUAACAAGAUUAGAAAAAUACAGAAGAUAGAUAAUUAUUCUUACUGAAGAUGCCACUCUGAGAGAGUGAACCACAGUUAGUACAAUAAACAUAGCCAUCCACUUUGAUACUUGUAGUGGCAACACAAAAAUUCUCAUUUUUCAGAAUGAUUGCAAGUAAUAAAAUUAAAUAGAGAAAUGUUUUG
Molecule: long non-coding RNA, 44071 nt
Filed under: Selaginella moellendorffii
Lineage: Eukaryota; Viridiplantae; Streptophyta; Lycopodiopsida; Selaginellales; Selaginellaceae
Source: RNAcentral